This 401-nucleotide ribosomal RNA is filed under the name Agonum viduum. RNAcentral describes it as "SSU rRNA". It matches the Rfam family "Eukaryotic small subunit ribosomal RNA", at positions 1172 to 1489 of the family's 1831-position model. The record is from RNAcentral. Lineage: Eukaryota; Metazoa; Arthropoda; Insecta; Coleoptera; Carabidae.
AGGAGUGGAGCCUGCGGCUUAAUUUGACUCAACACGGGAAACCUCACCAGGCCCAGACACUGGAAGGAUUGACAGAUUGAGAGCUCUUUCUUGAUUCAGUGGGUGGUGGUGCAUGGCCGUUCUUAGUUGGUGGAGCGAUUUGUCUGGUUAAUUCCGAUAACGAACGAGACUCUAGCCUACUAAAUAGACGUUACACUUUCCAGUAUCUCGAAGGCUCACAUCUCUCAUUUCUUUACUUCACAUCACUGUGCAUUUCGGUGUUUCAGUUGGUGUGUGGUGGGUGGGAGUUUGUGGUUUUUACUACUGGCGUACAUAUAUAUCUUCUUAGAGGGACAGGCGGCUUCUAGCCGCACGAGAUUGAGCAAUAACAGGUCUGUGAUGCCCUUAGAUGUUCUGGGCCG